RNAcentral lists this long non-coding RNA (4923 nucleotides) under Equus caballus (horse). RNAcentral describes it as "lncRNA (ENSECAG00000044362.1)". Lineage: Eukaryota; Metazoa; Chordata; Mammalia; Perissodactyla; Equidae. The record is from RNAcentral.
AUCCCAUCGUAUUUACUUGUGGAAUGUUUCAUGAAGAAUGUGCAAGUUAAUGAAUUGUCUGAAAGGUGGGAAGCCGAGAAGUGACUGUUGAGAAUAAGAUUGAUGGCAAAGAAGGGCAGGCACCAGGCGGAAGUUCUGGGGGCGGCCACACUGUCUGCUCCCCCUGCCAGGCCAAGGCUGACCCUGUCCACCCAGCUCCAGCCCGUGAUCUGGGAUGUGGAACACUGCGAACUUGAGCAUGCCCGUCACAGCCCAGACGUGGGACGAUGUCUACCACUCAGCUGCCUUUACCCCUCAGUGGAGCCCAUGGAGGUCAUGCCCUUUGCUGGACAUCUGCUGGCUUUAAAAAACUAAUCCAUGAGAAAAUUGAGAGAGAAAUUAAAUAUCCGGACUACAGCAAAGUAUGUGACCAGUUAUUCUUGCAGAAAAAUGGAAAAUAUGAGCUGGACAUUGGUAUGAAUGAGAAGACCUCUUCAUGAGUUAUUAUUUGUUUAUUCAAAAGGCACCUUUAUCAAAUCCAUAUGCUGCACAGAAUGAGCCACUUUUCAUCUGAACGCAAGACUACCGAGACUUACACUCGCGGAUGAAGGAGACGAUUUGAAUGGGUUCCAGGUUUCCUGCUCCUCUUUGCUGUUAAAGGGAGCAGGAGAUGGCCACAUCAAGCAGAAGUGGCUGUCACGGUGCCUGAGCACAGGCUGACCACAGACCUGAGAGAACAGCCUCGGCCCGGUCAUCAUCUCCGACUUUCUCCUGCAAUGAGGAACCACAGCGACCGCUCGCCAUUCAUCACCGUGCCCUUCCCACACACCCAGCACCUUCCAAACGGGCUGGCCUGGAGAUCUGCAAACAUCUGCUUCUUUUCUCUUUCCCUCUGCAAACUCCCCAUUCAGGUAGACUUUAAUGACUGAGAGAGAGGUAAAAUCCUUCUAUAGAAAUGACAACGGACGCUUGUUUUCUUUUAAAUGUAAUGUUAGGAUUUCACUUUUAUGAAUAAGGCAGCAAAAUGGCACAACUGUAUGCACGUGUGCACAGACAGCAGGUUGUUGGGACUUGCAAUCGAUGUUAAAAGUUUAGUUUAUGCCUAUCAAAGUCAUCUUUGACCCUUAAUGGAGUGGAGGGCUCCUACAGUACUAAAGUUCAUUGGUCUUGCAUAUUUUAAUGGAUAAUGCUAUUGUUUGUGGAUUCGGGGUGUUCUCCUUGCCUCUCAGACAGGAUGUUCCCAGCCUGUUUCCUUUGGGGGUUUAAGUUGUUCUGGGACAGUCUACAGAAUGUUCGACUGCUGCUAAUGCGUGUUGUGAGACCUAUAGAUGACAGUGAGAAAACAUCCAGGUCAAUAGAUCUUGGCUUGCUCAUUCAGUCAGGUAUUUAUUAUUCUUCUUUGCAUGAAAAUUUUUGACUCUGGCAGACUCUGUAGCUCCCCACAGUAAUAAAAGUGCGCCUCGGGGUGGCUAAUCCUAAACAGUGGCUAAUCCUCAAGCUAUUUGCAUUUGUUUUGGGAAUGCACAUUUGUACCUGCAUUAUAACAGGGCCAAGAUUACUACCGAACAAAUAACAAAGCUGGGUAUGGCCAGACUGUUUCUGAAAGCGACAACAAUCUGCUUUUUCAUUGUAUUUUCUCACUCAGACACUUUUUAUUGGCCUCAUCAUGGCAUUUAACUCUUUUGGAUCAGAUCUUUUCCAGAGCAAGGUGAUCUGUGAUGAGCCGAUCACCUCAUUGCAUCCUGUCCAUCACAACUGAGAUGCAGGGCAUGAACACUGAUGGAGAGAGAGGAAAUACACAUCUUUAAUGACCUCUUGGUCAGGAGCACUGCCUCGGGGUCAGAACCAAGUUCAAAUCUCUUUCUUGCCAUUUCCAACCUAGCCAUGAUUUUAGACAAGUUAAUUUCCCUCUCUGAACCUCAGUCUCCUUAACUGAGCACAAAUUCCCGCCCCAUAAGGGUAAUAACAGUGAGUAUUAGGUAGUAUGGUGGUCGUAACGUAGGUAGCACCAGUAUUGCCAUAUAGUAAGGGCUUAGCAAGUGAUAGCUGCUAAUUUUACUUUGCAAACCGGCUUCCUGACUGCAGCAAAUCUGCAGAUGACAAAAAACUCUCAUGCUGAUGUGAAGAUUUCUUUCCAAGAAAAUUGUAUUAUUUCAACCAUGCUCAUUUCUCUCACCAAGCCAAAAAAUUAGCAUAUUUCUCUAGAAGCUAGGGAGAAAGGACUACUUUUGUGUGUGUGUGUGUGUGUUUUUGUGUGAGGAAGAUUGUCACUGAGCUAACAUCUGUGCCAGUCUUCCUCCAUUUUAUGUGGGAUGCCACCACAGCACGGCUUGAUGAGCAGUGCUAGGUCCACGCCCGGGAUCCAGACCUGCAAACCCUGAGCCACCGAAGCGGAACAUUCGAACUUAACCACUACGCCACUGGGCCGGCCCCAAAGGACUACUUUUUAAAAUAUUCUUUUAACUAACAAAAUGCAGAGAUGAUAUUCUUUCUGCGUUGUUUCAUGGCAGGGACACAUUCUGAGAAAUGCAUUGUUAGGCGAUUUUGUCAUUGUGCAAACAUCAUGGAGUGCACUUACACAAACCUACAUGGUAAAGCCUACUACACACCUGGGCUAUAUGGUACUAAUCUUAUGGGACCCUCAUUAUACAUGCGGUCCAUUGGUGACUGAAAAGUCGUUAUUCGGCCCAUAACUGUAUAAUAUGAUAUUAUUUGCUGUCACAGGAGUUUUGAAAACAUAGCUACAUUAUAUACAUAUAAUUUGUUUACAAGGUUCUGGGUGGACCAUCAGGCAGAAAGACAGAAAAAGUUUUUGAGUAAAGAGAGGAACAGGAUUGAGAAAUGGGAAAUAAGGAAUAUCGCAUGAAAGAGUAGAAGCAGAUUGUGAGUAAACAUCUGAAGAAGAAAGUAAGAGGAAUGACAUUAAACGUGUCAGUGCUCCUGUAUUUUGAAGGAGGUGUAAAUUGGAUCAAGUGCUGUAAAUGUUCACAGGCCAUACCCCCUUUGGAUCUUCUCACCUCUUCCCUCCUUCUCACCACCUGCGUCCAUCAGCUCUGUCACUUUAUGUAUGAGAGAGAGAUUCCCACAUUCACUCCAGAGGUUCCAGGAAGAGCAGACAGCUUAAAAACAUAAAAUUUUAAAAAUGCAGCUAUUUCUUCAUCGAACACUCCUCUCAAGCAGACACAUUUUAAACAAUGCUCGAAGUUUCAGAAGGGAGUUAAGAUACAUGAGAGAAAAAUCCUUUCUGAAGUUUGAAGCUGCCUCGGGUGCACAAACGUGCACCUUCCUAGGAGAGAGACCAUUUUUGGAAGAAGAUAACAAUAACACAUCUGUCUUUUCAAAACCACAGCGCAGCUCGAGUACCAGAUUAAGGGAGAUUUGUAAACUCUGUUUCUGAAAAAGUACAGCCUCUUCCUUGGUUUUAUUGGUCGAGGAAUUCCAGCGAGACGGCAGCAGUCUGGUUCUUGGCAGACUUCUGCGGGAGCUGAUGAACGUCUUUUCUAGGUUAAAGUCUCCUCUUUUUUUGAGGAAGAUCAGCCCUGAGCUAACAUCUGCCCCCAAUCCUCCUCUUUUUUGCUGAGGAAGACUGGCCCUGAGCUAACUUCUGUGCCCAUCUUCCUCUACUUUAUAUGUGGGACGCCUACCACAGCAUGGCGUGCCAAGCGGUGCCUUGUCCGGACCCAGAAUCCAAACCAGCAAACCCCAGGCUGCCGAAGCAGAAUGUGCACACUUAACCGCUGCGCCACUGGGCCGGCCCUAAAUUCUACUUUUUAAAAGUCACGCUGUGAAGUGAGCUUGAGUUGAUAGAUCUGUUGGGCCACUGUUUGCAUACUGAAGUAUGGCAGCCUUCAACAGGCUACCUAUUGGCUAAAGCAACGAGCCAGAUGAAGACCUCAGUACAGUCAUCUCAGCUAUUGGAACAAUGUAAUUUGGCAAAUGAAAAAAAGAAAGCAUAUGUUGAUCAUGCAAUGCAAACAGAAGAUGCCCCUUUAUUAUAGGAGAUCACAAAGUCGUGAAUGGUAUGUCUUCUUAUAAGGUGAUGACGCAGUAAUUCAACGACAUUCUUAAAACUUCCAGUAAAUUUCCACCAUUUCAGAUCCUAUUGAGGCCAUUAAAUCAAGACUGAUUUGGACACGAAUAUCUCUCUUCUACAGAAACAUAUAAAUGGGAUCAGAUGAUUUGGGUAAGUGGCAACUAUUAAUUUUAUUGAAAAGACCUCCCUCAAUUGAUGUUUCUUGUUUGAAAGGCUAGCCCAUCUCUAAAGGGUUAACUGGCGUCCCAUUAAUGGGACACACUAUCACAAGACAAAGUAAUACAGUUUAACGCCCCCUGCUUUGAAUUCAGAGUUCAUGCAUAGUCUAGACUAAAGGCCAAACAAAUGUGCAACACUCCAUGCAUGUCUAUGGAGGAACAUUUUUGCUGAAGGAUAUGUAAAUAUUGCACUAAUCAGAGGUUCUGAAAUUCCAAAUGCCGUAAAAGGUUACGACCCGAAGCCCUGUUAAUAUAUGAGCGAGGGCGUAGACCAAACCCUUUUGAAUGACAGCUAACAUGGGGUGUUUUGCAUGAAAAAUAACCUCUAAUAAAUGACCUCUGCUUUUCUCUUUUCAAUUCUGUGACAGUAAUGAAUGAGAAAGGGGGAGCUUCCUACACAUCCAGUGUUAUUUACACCGAAACAUGAAAGUCCUGCCUGAGUGUUGGCUCCCAUUCAGGAAGAUGGAACAGUAGACAAUUUAUCGCAGAGAAUGAUAAUUUCUUUUUCCCUUUUGGGCUUCCCAAAGAACUCCAAGUAGAAGAGCAAAAAAACCUAAACACAUGCAAAGUUGUUAAAACAAGUGUUUCAUUUCCUAAAGAAUCCUUUCCGUUAGAGGGUGUAUAUGGAAUCUCCUGGAAUGCUGAUGAAACCUUUCUUGCUCAGAGAGCCCAUGACGUUUAGCCUGUCAGGUC